RNAcentral lists this long non-coding RNA (995 nucleotides) under Marmota monax (woodchuck). Lineage: Eukaryota; Metazoa; Chordata; Mammalia; Rodentia; Sciuridae. The record is from RNAcentral.
CACAACUCAAUUGGCUUCUCUUCUAUUUCUCCAACAAAAUCCUGGGCACACAUAGCUCUGUCGGGACCAUCUAUCCUGUAUAUGAAUUGAAUGUGGGGCUAGAGGCCAGGUGCUCCUCCACUACUUGCAAGAGUUCCAUGCUCUAGAUAUUGGGCCUCAGGUCUUUACAAAGAUGAUGUGCUUGUAAAAUGAGCCAAGAGCAAAAUAGCUUUUGACCUGGCAGCCCCUCCUGGGAGUCUGCCCAUCUGCAGCCAGAGACAAGAGUGAUGCCAACCUGCUCCAAUGUUUUCAUCCAUACCAGGGCCAAGCCCUGAUGACCAGGCAGCCAGUAAGAGUUCCAGGAGGCACAAGGCAGGAAGUUGGGGGAUUAAGAGGCGCAGUGUGGAGAAUGCUCUGGGGACAUGAGCCUUGGUUUAUUGGUACAACUGUUCAUUUAUUCCCCCAAGGACCAAAUGAGCUAAGUAUGGCUGAGCAAAGACUGUGGAGCCAAGCUUCCAGGGUUCAACUUUGGUCUCUGUGCUUUGGAAAAUUCCAUAAGCUUUCUUUUCCAGUUUCCCCUUUUUACCCAUGCGGUUGAUGUGAGGAUUAACCUAGCUUGUAGCAAGUGCCCUAUAAAUAUUAUUAUAAACAUUAUUAUUCAACAAUGUACCUCUGCCAAGAACAAAAUUCCCCUACUGCUCUUUAAUGUACUCUAGCCUGUCUCCCGGGAAAGAUGGUAGUGAGCUCCCUAGAGACAGGGACCAUAUCUUAUUUGUCUCUCUGAACCCAGAGUGCCUUUGCAAAAUUAAUUCACUUACUAAAUUAAUAGAUCAGGAAAACAUGUGGCUUUCAAAAGACUGUCAUUAUAAGUACAUCUUUUUUAAAAAUUUUUGGUUAAUUUCUUUUUUCUUUUUUAAUAUUUUUAGUUGUAGAUGGACACAAUAGCUUUAUUUUAUGUGUUUGUUUUUAUGUGGUGCUGAGGAUUGAACCCAGUGCUUCACCCAUGCUAGGCAAAC